This 31-nucleotide non-coding RNA is filed under the name Mus musculus (house mouse). Lineage: Eukaryota; Metazoa; Chordata; Mammalia; Rodentia; Muridae. The record is from RNAcentral.
UUGCCUUUUCAUAUCAUUGAAUUCACAAAUU